This 635-nucleotide long non-coding RNA is filed under the name Bos taurus (domestic cattle). Its description in RNAcentral is "long non-coding RNA NONBTAT000473". The record is from RNAcentral. Lineage: Eukaryota; Metazoa; Chordata; Mammalia; Artiodactyla; Bovidae.
CUCAAGUUAGGAGUUAGAUGUAUGUUUAAAUAAAACAUAAAAUAGAGUCCUCUAUCUAGGUUUAAAUUUACAGUUCUCAUGAAUACAAAAGAUAGUUCACACAAUGAACAUACUUCGUGUAAUAGUUCAUACAUACAAUGAACAUUUUACUCUGAGAAAGUUAGCUUAUUGUUUAUUAGAGUUCAUGGUAGAACUUCCCUCAUUAAUGCCUCUGAAGUGAUGAUACGACAGAUUCUUAAAAUGGAAAAACUAUAAGCCUGCUCUGAUCUCAGUCAGAGUAUAGAUUUAUAAAUUCUGUAUUCUUUUCCAAAAGUCUAAUAACACCGUUUGCCCUACUUUUUUAGGUAAAAGAAAAUGAAUUUAGGUAACACCUAGUUUAUACCUAUUUUUGCAACCUUUAGUCAUUUCCCUUCAGGACCAGCAGAGGGCGCGCUUUACUUUGCUCUUGUUAACUUUGAAAUUCAAAUACUUAGAAGUGCAUUCCAAUUUUUAUGAUCUCAUUAUAUGUCUAAAAUUAACUUUCCAAGAAUAAGUAUUUCAUUUCAUUUAGCCAGAUUAUAGUUUAAUUAAAUAAGAUCCAUGAUUUGUUAGUAAGGGUUCUCAUUAGUAAUCAUUAAAAAUGGAGCAUUUCUAGU